CCUGGCGUGGAAGCUCGUUUGAAGAUUAUCCAUUGAAGAAAUCUGAUUUCAUGAGGAACUUGGCCGAAGGUCGGUCGGUGGUGGACUUUGAAUGGCGUUAGGGAGGCUCGUCUACUGGAGGAGUAUGGGGGAUCUGAAGGCGAUCGGCCGUUAUAGAAAUCCAGCUGCUGGAGCCCGCCCGUUGUGAAAGCUCGUCCGGGAUCCAUCUGCUGUGGAAGCUCGGACGGAGUUCGAUUCUUGUGGGAGGCCGAAAGGAGGCUGCUUAUUGUUGAAGCUCGGUUGAAGAUCGAUUGUCAUGGGAGCUCGAAGUAACGACCUGGCCGGUGGAUCCUGCCCCCUGGUAGAAGCUCGUCUGGGAUCUGGCUACGAAGAAGCUCGGCUGAAGUCUACCUAUAAUAAAAGUUCGAAAGAAAUCUGUUUACAAUAGAGGCCCAAAUGAAAUUUGCUUACAGUAGAGAUCUGGGGUAGAUUGCCCGCUGUAGGGGUUCGGAGUAGACAGCUCGUAGCAGG
This 510-nucleotide long non-coding RNA is filed under the name Elaeis guineensis (African oil palm). RNAcentral's name for it is "long non-coding RNA (EGUI_LNC062242)". Lineage: Eukaryota; Viridiplantae; Streptophyta; Magnoliopsida; Arecales; Arecaceae. The record is from RNAcentral.